UUAAUGCAUAGGAAUCUGCCCGGUAGUGGGGGAUAACCUGGGGAAACCCAGGCUAAUACCGCAUACGUCCUACGGGAGAAAGGGGGCUUCGGCUCCCGCUAUCGGAUGAGCCUAUGUCGGAUUAGCUAGUUGGUGGGGUAACGGCCCACCAAGGCGACGAUCCGUAGCUGGUCUGAGAGGAUGAUCAGCCACAUCGGGACUGAGACACGGCCCGAACUCCUACGGGAGGCAGCAGUGGGGAAUAUUGGACAAUGGGGGCAACCCUGAUCCAGCCAUGCCGCGUGUGUGAAGAAGGCCUUCGGGUUGUAAAGCACUUUCAGCGAGGAAGAACGCCUGGCGGUUAAUACCCGCCAGGAAAGACAUCACUCGCAGAAGAAGCACCGGCUAACUCCGUGCCAGCAGCCGCGGUAAUACGGAGGGUGCAAGCGUUAAUCGGAAUUACUGGGCGUAAAGCGCGCGUAGGUGGCUUGAUAAGCCGGUUGUGAAAGCCCCGGGCUCAACCUGGGAACGGCAUCCGGAACUGUCAGGCUAGAGUGCAGGAGAGGAAGGUGGAAUUCCCGGUGUAGCGGUGAAAUGCGUAGAGAUCGGGAGGAAUACCAGUGGCGAAGGCGGCCUUCUGGACUGACACUGACACUGAGGUGCGAAAGCGUGGGUAGCAAACAGGAUUAGAUACCCUGGUAGUCCACGCCGUAAACGAUGUCGACCAGCCGUUGGGGUGCCUUGUGCACUUUGUGGCGAAGUUAACGCGAUAAGUCGACCGCCUGGGGAGUACGGCCGCAAGGUUAAAACUCAAAUGAAUUGACGGGGGGCCCGCACAAGCGGUGGAGCAUGUGGUUUAAUUUCGAUGCAAACGCGAAAGAA
This 861-nucleotide ribosomal RNA is filed under the name Halomonas sp. 707D7. Its description in RNAcentral is "bacterial SSU rRNA". It matches the Rfam family "Bacterial small subunit ribosomal RNA", at positions 110 to 968 of the family's 1533-position model. The record is from RNAcentral. Lineage: Bacteria; Pseudomonadati; Pseudomonadota; Gammaproteobacteria; Oceanospirillales; Halomonadaceae.